RNAcentral lists this microRNA precursor (76 nucleotides) under Cebus imitator (Panamanian white-faced capuchin). RNAcentral's name for it is "miRNA (ENSCCAG00000016480.1)". Lineage: Eukaryota; Metazoa; Chordata; Mammalia; Primates; Cebidae. The record is from RNAcentral.
AUUAGGUUGGUGCAAAAGUAAUCACAGUUUUUGCCAUUACUUUUGAUGGCGAAACUGCGAUUACUUUUGCACUAAC